UCAGGCCUAACACAUGCAAGUCGAGCGCGCCUUCGGGCGAGCGGCGGACGGGUUAGUAACGCGUGGGAACGUGCCCAGAUCUACGGAAUAGCCACUGGAAACGGUGAGUAAUACCGUAUACGCCCUUCGGGGGAAAGAUUUAUCGGAUUUGGAUCGGCCCGCGUUAGAUUAGGUAGUUGGUGGGGUAACGGCCUACCAAGCCUACGAUCUAUAGCUGGUUUUAGAGGAUGAUCAGCAACACUGGGACUGAGACACGGCCCAGACUCCUACGGGAGGCAGCAGUGGGGAAUCUUGGACAAUGGGGGCAACCCUGAUCCAGCCAUGCCGCGUGAGUGAAGAAGGCCCUGGGGUCGUAAAACUCUUUCGCCUGUGAUGAUAAUGACAGUAGCAGGUAAAGAAACCCCGGCUAACUCCGUGCCAGCAGCCGCGGUAAUACGGAGGGGGUUAGCGUUGUUCGGAAUUACUGGGCGUAAAGCGCACGUAGGCGGAUUAGAAAGUUAGAGGUGAAAUCCCGGGGCUCAACCCCGGAACUGCCUUUAAAACUACUAGUCUAGAGUUCGAGAGAGGUGAGUGGAAUUCCGAGUGUAGAGGUGAAAUUCGUAGAUAUUCGGAGGAACACCAGUGGCGAAGGCGGCUCACUGGCUCGAUACUGACGCUGAGGUGCGAAAGUGUGGGGGAGCAAACAGGAUUAGAUACCCUG
This 700-nucleotide ribosomal RNA is filed under the name uncultured bacterium. Its description in RNAcentral is "bacterial SSU rRNA". It matches the Rfam family "Bacterial small subunit ribosomal RNA", at positions 42 to 789 of the family's 1533-position model. The record is from RNAcentral.